RNAcentral lists this ribosomal RNA (440 nucleotides) under uncultured bacterium. RNAcentral describes it as "partial 16S ribosomal RNA". It matches the Rfam family "Bacterial small subunit ribosomal RNA", at positions 338 to 795 of the family's 1533-position model. The record is from RNAcentral.
CCUACGGGAGGCAGCAGUAGGGAAUCUUUCACAAUGGGCGAAAGCCUGAUGCAGCAACGCCGCGUGGAGGAUGAAGGUUUUCGGAUUGUAAACUCCUUUUGUAAGCGAGGAUUAUGACGGUAUCUAAUGAAUAAGCACCGGCUAACUACGUGCCAGCAGCCGCGGUCAUACGGAGGAUGCGAGCAUUACCCGGAGUGACUGGGCGUAAAGAGUGCGAAGGCGGGGAAAUAAAGCAGAUGUGAAAUCCUGUAGCUUAACAAUAGGACUAUAUUUGAAAAUGUUACUCUGGAGAGCGGGAGAGGUAGGUGGAAUUUUUGGUGUAGGGGUAAAAUCCGUAGAGAUUAGGAGGAAUACUAAUUGCGAAGGCGAGCUGCUGGAACAUUACUGACGCUGAGGCACGAAAGCGUAGGGAGCAAACGGGAUUAGAUACCCGAGUAGUC